Myotis myotis is the source of this 3205-nucleotide long non-coding RNA. RefSeq lists it as uncharacterized. The transcript has 3 exons. NCBI's taxonomy places the organism in Eukaryota, Metazoa, Chordata, Mammalia, Chiroptera, Vespertilionidae. The record is from RefSeq and is a predicted model, not a curated record.
UUUUCCAUCUAAGCUGGCCAAUCAGCCUCUCUGGAAUUUGGACUUGGAACUGACAGUGCAGCUUUAGACUGACUGUUAACUUGAACCAAGGAGUCGGGAAACUUGAAAGAUGUUGUUAGUGACUAUUUUAGGCAUUAUGGAAAAACCAAUUUGCAGGAAGACAGAGGAUUAAGGCGGUUGUGCAGUUGUGAGAGUGGGGCAAAGAGAGAAAAAAAGAAUAGAUUUCUUAAGGUGAUCCAGUCCCCAGUUCUAUUACAUUUCGGAGGCCCAGCUUAAAUAAUGAUGAUAGCUAAUGUUUAUUGAGCACUUGAUGUGUGUCUGGUGUAAUUAUUACAGUGAUCCUAUAGACAUUCUAGUUCUCAUUUUACACAUGAGGGGGAAAAGCAAACUUCUUAAAAUCCUUAAGUGCAAUUGUUACAGAGGCUGCCAAAUCUCACCUCUCCCCCUACCCUCUUUCCCAUCUCCUUUCUUUCCUAUCCCCAACCUCCACCCACCCACCCCCACUCAAGGUCUUCCCCUUUAGGUCAAUUUCCCACUUUUCUAUGGAGAGCUUUUUCUCGGGCUUCUCUGUUUGGAUAAUGAUUAUAUCAGUAAGGAAUUGCAGUUGAAUAACAGACUGGACCUCAGUAACUUAAAAACCUUGGAUUUGGGCCCUGGCCGAUUUGGCUCAGUGGAUAGAGCAUUGGCCUGUGACCUGAAAGGUCCCAGGUUCAAUUCUGGUCAAGGGCACAUGCCCGGGUUGUGAGCUCGAUCCCCCGUCGGGGACUUGCAGGAGGCAGCCGAUCUAUGAUUCUCUCUCAUCAUGGAUGUUUCUAUCUCUCUCUCCCUCUUCUUCUCUGAAAUAAAUAAAAAUAUGUUUUAAAAAACCCUGGGAUUUGGGUUCAAGGAUGUCAGACCAAAGGUUACUGUGAAUUCCUGGCUUUUCUUUUGUGGCCUCCAGGGGCUGCUUUGCAGACACAUCUUAUUUACAUUCCAGGCCAAAGACCAAGGAAGGACUGAGGGCUCCCUGGGGAGAAGCACAUUGAACAUUUUAAGGCAGGAAAUUUGAGGGUCUGGAAUAUCUUGUUUUUGCCAGAAAAUAAUACUUUCAAAGACCCUUUUGUAACAAGCUAAGUUAUGUCUAGUAAUUGUUACAGUAUUUUAUGUGCGUUUUUCUGCCUUUUAAGGUGAGUGAAAGACUUAUGAAUAGGACAUAAUAAUAAAAAUUCCAAAGAAGAUACAGGUAAUUAAAUUUGAAAUCAUUUUUUAAGUUAUAAUUUAUUAAAUUCAUAAGGUUAAACUUUAGAUUUAGUGUGUUUUAACUGUUUAGGAAGAUUUUGUCUAUAGAAAUAUUAGUUCUUUUUGGGUGUUUGAAGGGCUUGAGAAAAUUAGAUGUAUUAAAAUUAGAUUACACUUUAAAUUUUCCAAAAUUUAAUUUUUUAAAUUUGAUAAACAUUUGAAUAGACUUUAUCAAAUGUAUAAAUAGGCAUAAAAUAAAAUAAAAUAUUAACAGAAAAUUAAUUCCAUUUGUAAAUAACAAGUUUAAAGGCUUAGAAACUAAGUUUUAAAAUAUACAAUUUAAAUAUGUAAAACAUAAGUUGAAACUCAACUUAUUUAUAUCAAUGCAUAAAAGCUCUCUUUAGACAUAAGGAAAACUCAGGAAACACUUGGGUGUAUAGGUCAGUGUAGGUAAGUUAUAGUUCUAUGUUAACAAGCAACUCCAACAGCCUCAGUGGUAGACAGUGAUAAAUGGUUCUGACUCAUGUCUCAGGUCUACUGUAGUCUAGUUCUUACUCAUGUCAUAGAUCUGUUGUCUGUCUGCAGCUCUGCUCAGAGUUCUCUUCAUUCUGAGAGCCAGGCUGAUGCUGAUAAAGUGCUGCAAAAUAGCCCAUUUCGGCUGAAGGAUUAUUUUGAACUGAAGGCAAUUGAGAAGCAGAUACAAGAAAAGUUCUGUGCCUUCUCCCUAUUUGCCUAAAAGCAGAACAUUCUUUUAUAAAGGUGCGCUUCCUCCUCUCUUUACAGAAAGGACAAAAGUUAAUCCCCAGAAGCAACUUUAAACCCUUAUCAAUGGAAAAGGCACUACCUUAAAUCUGCAUAACAAACCUUAUUCUUGUUUACCACACUUUCCCUGGGUACUUCCCCAUAAUUGGCCUCCCCACAACUUUAGCAGAAGAUAUUUAAGCCUGAGUCCUGAACCACUCCUAAGAGUUAUUCUUUUUCCCUGGAUAUCUCCCAUGUGUACAUGAGGUACACGUUAAUUAACUUUUAUUUGUUUUCUUUUUGUUAUUAUGUCUUUUAUUAUAGGGGUCUUGGCUAAGAGCUCAGAAAGGAAGAGAAAAAUUAUUUCUUCUCCCCUACAGCAUAUCAAUACAUUUUUGUUUGUUUUAUUUUUCUCUUCUUAAUCUCUUUUGUUGUAUAGGUCCCAGCCUAGAACUUAGAAGGAUGAAGGAAAAUUAUUUUUCUCUCCUACACUCAUGGAAGAGAAAGAGAACAUGGUGGAAACACAUGGUGUCUCUUAGAACUUCUGCUUAAAGCGAUACUUAAGGUUGGACCAAAUGAUGUUUUCCUGGGAGAAGCAGAAGACGCCGAGCCGGCCUCCUCGCAUGGUGGUGUCUAUGGUGACUCCAGAGUCAGCCACCAACUCGGAGCCUUCAUAGAAUCGCACCCUGUGGACAACACAGCCCGAGCAGACCCAUGAGGCUCAAACCAAGGCUGCUGUAUCAGGAGACUGUAAUCCAUGCUACUUCGUAAACACACUGCAUAAGCUGGAGGAAUGAGAAAGUGAGUACAUUGUCUAAAUUCCACAGCUAUAGUCCUAAGCCAUCCUAGCUUCUGAGAACAGUUUUUAGUUUGUUUUAAAAAUAGCCCUAUAGGGAAAUAAGGCAGAUUACAGUGACUUACAUGAAGACUGGUACAUGCCAGGCACUGUGCCAGGUGCUGGUAGACCAAGAUGAAAUAAGGCACAGCCCUCGUGGAGCUUAUGUCCAGGAGGAAAGACAGACUCUAAGGGAUUCACUGCAGUGUGAAAUAUUCAUGAGUAAGUGAUCACACAGCGCAGGGGAUCACGGGACGUGUGGAUGGAGACUCAGCCACACGGGUCAGCCUGAGUCUUCCUCCCCGCUCUUUUUGUGAGCCAUAGCCCAAGGUCUCAAACCCUGGCCUGCAAUGCAGAAUGAGGGUGUGCUUUGCGUCCGGCGCAAGGUGAGAUGGGUCGUCCGCCUACCUG